Molecule: small nucleolar RNA, 139 nt
Organism: Tachyglossus aculeatus (Australian echidna)
Lineage: Eukaryota; Metazoa; Chordata; Mammalia; Monotremata; Tachyglossidae
Source: RefSeq, a predicted model, not a curated record
ACCCUCUCAGGAUCACAUCUGGAGAGUUUCCAGUACUCUACCAGUCUCAGCUGAGGGAGGGAGAGUCAAGCAGAGGCUUACCCCAUUCCAUUCCUAGCUUGGCCAGUGGCAAGCAAAUGGAAGACACUCUGCUACAAGU